This 71-nucleotide transfer RNA is filed under the name Marmota monax (woodchuck). Its description in RNAcentral is "tRNA.Ala". Lineage: Eukaryota; Metazoa; Chordata; Mammalia; Rodentia; Sciuridae. The record is from RNAcentral.
GGGGUUGUACCUCAGUGGUAGAGGGCUUGCUUAGCAUCUGUGAGGCACUGAGUUUGAUCCUCAGCACUACA